This 2755-nucleotide long non-coding RNA is filed under the name Zea mays. RNAcentral's name for it is "long non-coding RNA (ZMAY_LNC003149)". The record is from RNAcentral. Lineage: Eukaryota; Viridiplantae; Streptophyta; Magnoliopsida; Poales; Poaceae.
UGCACCACUUCUCACCUCAAUCCAUCCACCAUAGCCCGAGAAUUUGGAAUUCUCCCCAAAUCGGUCACUAUCAUCACCUUAAUGGGUCUCGCCAUGGACAGAGCUCUCUGAGGUAAUCGUGGUAGAACUAGUGGUUGUUUUGUGUUCCCUUACGUGUUGUGAUGCUCAUCAGCCCGCCCGGUUGAACUCUACCAUAGCAGGAUCCCUAGAACGCCAUGUCGCCACACUAGAACGCUGUUGCGGACACACUCCUCAUCGACCCACUGCUCUGUCCUUUCGCCCGUCUUCCUGGUCGUCAUCCUUGAGUCCUGGUGAGUUACUGAAGCCCAUCGUACUUUUGGUUCAAAAACUAUCGCGUUGUGUCACUAGGAACAAGCUCAAAGGUUUCGGUUCCGCGGGUGCUCAUGGACCGAGCUCUAGGAUAGAGUUCAUGCCCGAUUUUUAAUCCUUAGAGUAGUGCCAAGAGUUGAAUUAGGUGUGAGAGCAACUUUGAGCUCGAAUUAUGGGAUAUGGUGGCCUGCGCAAGUUUGUCGAAGCGAUUGCACCGGCGUCCGUGGUCAGGGACUCGGUCGUGUGAAGGAGAAAGAAAGGGAGGGUUUCUUUGUAAACGUCAGUGACUCAGAAAACAGUGCUUUGGAUUGGUCUUCGGUUAUUCAAAUACCCAGGGGCUCCGUGCAAAAGGUCUCGCGCGGGCGCAGACACGAGCGCAUUCCGCUAUCCGUGGGCCAGGCCAGAUCGAUUUCAGCCCAACCCUGUUCAUCAUAUUUCCUUUUCUUUUUGAUAUUAGUUUAGGAAAUUCAUUAGAAAUGGUAGAAAUUUGGUAAAAUCAUGAGACCAAUUUUGUUAGAUUCCUAAAAUCAAGUAGUAUUUAAUAAAAAUAAUUCCAAGAUUUUUAUUUCAAACCUGGAAUUAUGUAGCAUUUAAAGGUGCUUAAAUAAAGUCUUUUAAAAUUUUAGAAAUAAUUUAGUAAUUCCAAAAAUCGUACAACUUUUUGGGUAGGCUUAAUAUGAUGGUUAGAGAGCUUGAGUGAAGUUUGAAAUAGUUUGGACAUUGUUUGACCAGCAAACCCAAUAACUAGCUUCAUAGGAUUUAUUAUUUAAUACUAAUCCUAAAGGAACACCUAACUAGGAGAUCUUAGUGAUUGAUUCAUACUAUGAAGGAAAGUUGUAUUCAAGACGCAACUUACUAUAUUUCUAUUAUAUGAUUGCAUAUUCAUGACAUAGCAUGAGCAUUCAUGUACAUGUAUUCUCAUGUAUAGAACACGUGGAAGAAUCUGUAGUAGAGGAAGAAGUUGUCUCCCAGACCGAGAAUCCUCCAGUGGAGAACAACUUUUAUUUCGACACCUGCGGUGUGGAUACAGAAACUCCUACAAUACAAGGCAAGCCCCGGUGCAUUUUACCCUUUCCUUGCAGUUUGAAAAUCUUUAUCACCUUAUAUGAUGCAUUAGGUGAUAGGUGUUGUGUGCUAAACAAUUUAUGCAUUUCCUUCCUUGGAAAAUUGAUUACCGUUCCUUGAUACCACUUUUAUGAAGAGGAUUUUUAUGAUGCUUAACCUAUCUUUAGAAAACAAAAAAAAGUUUUGUUUUAAAACAAAAAGUGAUGCUUCACACAUGAUGGGAAUUUUUACAAAGAAAAGGAUUAUGAUGGUGAAUCCAUCAUGGCCGUGAUGGGUUCCACAUCUAAAAGAGUAUCUCUGUCAGGUAACAGACUUUGGGUUUUAAAUGAUAAAGACUAGACCUGGCAGGUGACUUGCACGAGAAGAGAGUCUCAGUGUAGUGUCUCUGUCUGAGUCAUUUAUAGACCAAGCCAAUGUAGGCCUGCUGAUCGAGGACCUUUUAACUGGCCACAUGCCUCGUCAUGGGUAAGCUUUGCCUCAGUCGGAACAAUACCAGAAAGGCUACCACAUAAUGGGAGUGGAGAGAUGGUGAGAAUAUCGUGUACCCUCCGUGGCAAGAGGCUGGACGGUGGAGUAUCUGUGCUCUCGGUUGGCGUGAACCCAUUCUGGUCUUGAGAAACCCGGGUGUGAGUUGACAUAUGCAAGGGUUAAGUGCUACAUAUGUCAUGUGGUUGGAGAUUCACAGCUGGGUAUUAAUCGAUUCAGAUCGCCGUUACUUCUCGGACAUGAAGACUUGGUCACUAACCUACACGUAGUGACAAGUGAACUCAAGGGAUGAUAAAAAGACGGCUAGUAUAGGCCAAGUGCUUGAUCUAGAAUAGAAAGGAAUCUAGAUGCAGGUAACUACUUAACCUGACAAGUAAAAUGAAUUCUUAAGGAUCCACUAAUAGUAAGCUUUUCUGCAAAAAGAGUCUUUGAAUCUUAUUAAGCUUUACCUUGAUUCCCAAAGGCCAGUAUAUCCUUGAGAGUCUUUUUCUUUAGUUGGAUAAGACUUACGAAAGUACACUCCGUACUCAGGGUUUUCAAACCCAUGUUGUUGUAGGUGAUGAAACUGCUGAGUUUUGAUGUUUCUGCUCCAAGGUUGUCCCAAAACAGGAGGAAGAAAACUAAGAACUACCCGUGGAAGGUGUUUUGCCUUCCUGUGAUGUAAUAAGUUUAAGCACUCAGAACCUGGUUAUGUAGUAAUCAACUCUUUCUAUAAUAUAUUUAUGAAUGUAAAUUAUGUUAUUGUAAUACUUUCUGCUUUACUCCGAUGGUUUUUAAUGUCUGCGUUAUGGGAUAAGCGCUCUUGGGCGAUGAGAUGGAGAUACAAAUAACCGGACCUGCCGAGCCACUGAGCGCACCUGCACGACUGUCUGAG